This 452-nucleotide long non-coding RNA is filed under the name Homo sapiens (human). RNAcentral describes it as "HSALNT0363769". The record is from RNAcentral. Lineage: Eukaryota; Metazoa; Chordata; Mammalia; Primates; Hominidae.
GCUAUCCUCCCACUUUGGCCUCCCAAAGCACUGGGAUUACAGCCUCUUCUAGCCACACCACAGUCCGGUGGCUCAUUUAUGUCCUGGCCAUGUCUGUGCCAGGCUCCAGCUGGAACAGGGACCAGUGAUGAAUUAGACAUGGGCCUGGCCUUCAGGAGCUCACAGCAAACUCAGUGAGAGAGAUGUGUAAGGAGCUGAAACAGAAUCUUGCCCAGCCAGAUGAGAAGCAGCAGCACCAUCUGGACUGUGUUUAAUCAGCAGGAGGCCAUGAGACAAAUGCCAGGAAGGAGGCUCUCAAGCUUCCAGACAUAAAGGAAUGGAGCAGAGUCAAGGGCAGUAUUUCAGGCUGCAGCAGAAGCAGGAAGCGAAGACAUGUGGCUGUGAUAGCAGGUGUGUGCUGUUGGAUGAUGCUGGCGCUACUGCAGUUUGACAUUGCUGAAGAGGAAGGUGGA